RNAcentral lists this long non-coding RNA (1429 nucleotides) under Homo sapiens (human). RNAcentral describes it as "HSALNT0131905". Lineage: Eukaryota; Metazoa; Chordata; Mammalia; Primates; Hominidae. The record is from RNAcentral.
AUUUCACAUUUUAGGACUUAUAGCACAGUGCUGAAUACUAAAAUUGAUCCUGGAUGUCCUUUCAUGUUUCACCAUAAUAAAAACGGUUCUAAUGUUUCAUCAUUGCAUGAAUGUUUGUCAGAGUUAAGGUAAAUUACCUUUUAUCAAAUUAAAGAAGUUUCCCCUUAAUCGUAUUUUACAGGAACGUGAAGUAGAAGGUUCAUUCGCUCAGAAAAUGCAACACAAUACCAACAUUGUUUGUAUCUCUGUGUCAGAAUAAAAAUGGAUUGAUCUUAGUUAGAAAGUUAUUUAUAAAAAUAGGAAUGGUGUUAGGUUUUAUCAAAUGCUUAUUUGGUAUCUGUCUGAUAGGAGUUCCCCCAUUUUGUAAGUUUUGAAUGAAAUAAUAACCGUUUUAAUACUGAACCAUCUUUUCAUUGUGUAGUUAUGUAUUAUUUUAAUACAGUGUUGGAUUCUACUUGCUUCUAUUUAUUGAAAGUUUUCUCAUUUUUGUUUAUGGGGCUGAGUGUGUUUUCACUUCCCACGCAUUUCUAUUGUGCUUUUCUAUCAGCACCUUUUACCUUAACAACAAGGAGUUGUCUUCCCCACCCUUCCCCAUGCUGAGAUGAUGUGAGCUUUAGUUUCAGAAGAUUAUUAGUUGACUUUGUUACGCAUCAGCAGUCAUUUCCCUUAGCUGUAUUUUACUAUCAGCCCUCCUUUCUUCUUGCCGCUGGCUCUUCUCCCAUGCCUUCCUUGUUAAUUUUUAUUCGCUUUUCAUUUGGCUGAUGUCUAUCUUCUAGAGAGUCUCUUUGUUCACAUCUGUGGGUGGGAAAGCUCUUAGAAUCCUUGAAUGUCUAAAAAUAUGUUUAUUCCCACAUAAAAUCUAAUUUUACGGAGCAUUGGAAUCUCAAUUCAAAAUGAUUUUCCUUUAAAACCGCUGCCUUCUACCAGUCAGUAUGAACCAAGGACAACAUCUUCCUUGCACUUCCUGUGGCCAUGCUGGUUUAACCUGUUACGGCUUCUCAGCUUUGUUUCCUGCUGGCUGAGCUGGGGGCUCUCCCUCUAUUGUGGGUUUUCUUCGCCUGCCAUACGACUCCAGGCAUCUGCUUGUCUUUGUCUCUGAAAUCCUUUUGGCCUGUGGGUGGGGGGUGUUUCUAGCUGCAGGAUGGGGUCCCUGGUGGCGUGAGUGAGGUUGGGAUGAGCUGUUUGCCGGCCUGUGCGUAGGGAGUGUUUCUAGCUGCAGGACAGGGUCCCUUGUGGUGUUGUAGAUUAGAUAAACUACAUCUAUUACAACCAUAUGAGUGAGGUUGGGAUGAGCUGUUUGCUGGCCUGUGGGUGGGGCGUGUUUCUAGCUGCAGAAUGGGGUCCCUGGUGGUGUGAGUGAGGUCGGGAUGAGCUGUUUGCUGGCUGUUGAGACCAGCUCGGUCGGGGAGACCCUAACCCAGUGGUGCUA